RNAcentral lists this ribosomal RNA (495 nucleotides) under uncultured bacterium. Its description in RNAcentral is "partial 16S ribosomal RNA". It matches the Rfam family "Bacterial small subunit ribosomal RNA", at positions 28 to 507 of the family's 1533-position model. The record is from RNAcentral.
GACGAACGCUGGCGGCGUGCCUAAUACAUGCAAGUAGAACGCUGAUGGAGGAUCUUGCUUCUCUGGAUGAGUUGCGUACGGGUGAGUAACGCGUAGGUAACCUGCCUGGUAGCGGGGGAUAACUCUUGGAAACGAUAGCUGAUACCGCAUAAUAGCAGUUGUUGCAUGACAACUGUUUGAAAGGUGCAAUUGCACCACACCCAGAGGGACCUGCGUUGUAUUAGCUAGUUGGUGGGGUAACGGCUCACCAAGGCGACGAUACAGAGCCGACCUGAGAGGGUGAGCGGCCACACUGGGACUGAGACACGGCCCAGACUCCUACGGGAGGCAGCAGUAGGGAAUCUUCGGCAAUGGGCGGAAGUCUGGCCGAGCAACGCCGCGUGAGUGAAGAAGGUUUUCGGAUCGUAAAGCUCUGUUGUAAGAGAAGAACGAGUGUGAGAGUGGAAAGUUCACACUGUGACGGUAUCUUACCAGAAAGGGACGGCUAACUACGUG